This 351-nucleotide unclassified non-coding RNA is filed under the name soil metagenome. RNAcentral describes it as "partial contains 5.8S ribosomal RNA, internal transcribed spacer 2, and large subunit ribosomal RNA". The stretch from base 1 to 120 matches the Rfam family "5.8S ribosomal RNA", at positions 35 to 154 of the family's 154-position model. The record is from RNAcentral.
GAUGAAGAACGCAGCGAAAUGCGAAAAGUAAUGUGAAUUGCAGAAUUCAGUGAAUCAUCGAAUCUUUGAACGCACAUUGCGCCCGCCAGUAUUCUGGCGGGCAUGACUGUCUGAGCGUCAUUUCAACCCUCACGCCCCUAGGGCGUGGUGUUGGGGAUCGGCCAAGGCCCGCAAGGGACGGCCGGCCCCUAAAUCUAGUGGCGGACCCAUCGUGGCCUCCCCUGCGAAGUAGUAAUAUAUUCCGCAUCGGAUAGCGAUGAGCCCCUGCCGUUAAACCCCCAACUCUUUCAAGGUUGACCUCAGAUCAGGUAGGAAUACCCGCUGAACUUAAGCAUAUCAAUAAGCGGAGGA